CAAGAAAAGGAACCAGGGCUAUAAAUCCUGUUAAAGAUGGGCCAUGAGUGUCCUUCUGGCCUACUAAUUUUAUCACGAUUAGUUUCUAACUGGACAAGAGAGCACUUCCAGUCUGAGACAAAGCCAGAUUAAAGGAAGAAAUCUAUUCUUCUUACUCUAAUUUGUGUGGCUACUGGAAAACUGAAAACUAUGUAUAUGUGGCUUGCAUUAUGUUUCUAUUGGAUAGUGCUGCUGUGGAGCACCAGGCAAUUUUUAAGAGACAAUGACAUCCUGAGGAUAAACCAUACUAUUACCAUAUCACAAACAUUCCAAAUUCCCAGAAAUGCAGAGGUAUGAUGAGUCACUCCAUGGAGAUCUGGGCCAAAGGCAGCUGGCAGAACUCAUUCCAGAUCCUCAACAAACAGAGCUUGUGAUUGUCAUUCAGCAUUCAUGGAGAGUUUUGCUUGAUUUUUCACACCCC
Molecule: long non-coding RNA, 460 nt
Organism: Pan paniscus (pygmy chimpanzee)
Lineage: Eukaryota; Metazoa; Chordata; Mammalia; Primates; Hominidae
Source: Ensembl